Molecule: non-coding RNA, 77 nt
Organism: Potamilus streckersoni
Lineage: Eukaryota; Metazoa; Mollusca; Bivalvia; Unionida; Unionidae
Source: the annotation of a GenBank genome assembly
GACCGCUCCGGUGGUCUAGUGGUUGAAGCGUCCGCCUCGGAUGCGGGAGGUCGUGGGUUCGAUCCCCUGUCGAGUCA